Molecule: long non-coding RNA, 1899 nt
Organism: Uloborus diversus
Lineage: Eukaryota; Metazoa; Arthropoda; Arachnida; Araneae; Uloboridae
Exons: 3
Source: RefSeq, a predicted model, not a curated record
CCUCCACGCGUGAGUACAGAACAUUUGAACGCAACUUCGCAAUUUUUGAAACUUUAAGGUAUUCCAGGGACUUAGAACUCGCAGUUGCAAGAUGCGUCCGUGUGUAGUUUGUCUGUGCGUGCUCGGCGUCCUGUUAUUGGCAGUCCACAACAGUCAGUCCCAGCCUGUGAAAUUCCAGAAGUGGGAGGACUAUUUGGAGGCCAUGGGAAAGGAGUUCACGCAAAAGGAGGACAAAUGCAAAAAUGAUCCAGAGUCCCAGAACAUAUGUGAGAAAUGUUCCAAAGUGACCAAAAAUGAGGUUGUCUUUCCUCUCUGCUGCCAAGAACAAAAAGGAGUCAGAACUUGGUGCAAGAAGUUCCUCAGUUACACUUAUAAAGAAUAACAGCUGGACAUCACAGAAGAAUGAUACAUCCCACCAUUUUCAUAAGAAUUCUUUUGACUGAAGCUUCAUAAUGAAAGCUUAGGUGAUCGGACCUUCUUGUUAUAGCAUGAAAUAAUUUAUAAGUGCUUAUAUAUGUGUGUGCAUGAGAAUUUUAACAAUUUAUAGUGCAAAAGAAAUUUAAUUGAAAAAAAAAAAAAAAAAACUCAAGAACUUUAAUAUAAGAUGCAGAAAACUGGAAUGAACACUGUAACAAUAUAUUUGUUUUAUUCGUGGAAGAUUUUACCAAAGUUUCCGAAUGAGAUUUUUGUACGAUUUUUGUGUCCUGCUCUCUAGGGAAACGAACUAUGGAUAAAUGAAGGUUAAUAUUACGAGAUUUAACUGCCCAAAUGACAAUAGUUUUGUACAUUUACGAACUUGGGAAGAUAUAAAUAAAAAACGAACUAAAAUAAUGAUAAAUUACUGAAGAUUGGCAAUGGGAAGCAAAUUUUCUGAAGCGCCUGAAAGGUGAAAGGGUUUUUGCUAUUAUCAUGCACAAGAUACGAUCUUUUUACAAUUUUUGUUAACUCUUACCAAUGUAAAUACAAAAAAAAAAUUGAAUUAGUACUGUCUGACCAUCGAUUAAAUGGAAAGGCUAAUAUCCGGUUUAUGGGCGGAAAUGGACGUAUCUAUUAGUGUAUAGGGAUGUUAGUUGGUUUCUUUUAUAUGUGCACUUUUGUCUCUCUAUUAUUUAGCCUUAGUUUUGUAAAAAUGAAAAUUUGCUCACAGCAACAUUUUUUGAAUCUAAAGUAUAUUCGAACUAUAUUCUCACGGCAAAAAUUAAUUGAAUUAUUUAUUCACAACAAAGUUUUGAGCUUACCAUUUUGCUUUUACCUUCCUGAACGAAAUGAAAAUAUUGUAUUUUCUUUUUGUUGUUUCCAUGGUAACUAUUUUUGUUUCCCUUUAUUUUAUUUUUGAGAAUGCAAUAAAUGAAUAAUGCACUAGUGACAUUAUGAAGCUCGUGCAUCAAAAUCCCAUCGUUAUUUCCCCUUUUCCCCUGCUAGAUUCAUUCAGAUGGAAUCGUCUUUACUUGGCAGAUUGCCGAAUUACAUACAAUCCGUGGUCAAAUAGUACAUUUCAUUUUUUGAGACAAAUCUACUGAAUUGUAAAAAAUGAGAUCAUUUUAUCAUAUAUAUGCAAAUAUGAAGGUUAUUAAAUAAGUGUAAAAUUAUUUAUAUGUAGAGGAUCUUACCUUAGCAGAUCUCUUGAAAUGUAUAAAAUAAGGUUUAUUUAACACUGCAGUUUGGAUGUGAUACCCGGGCUGUCUGGUGUAUUGCAUGUACUAGAAGAGUGUACUUGAGUAUAUAUAAAUAUGUAGGCAAUCGACAAUUCGUUUGCAAUAUAUAUGUUGAUCUUAUGUAAAAAGAUUAUCUUGAAGGUCAGACUUGAGGUAUUUUUUAAAACCAUAUUUAAAAAAAAAACUUGAAAAGCGCCAAUAUGUAGAAAAUUAAUAGGUCAUUCUUUUAUGCAGAUCAAAUGUA